Molecule: ribosomal RNA, 468 nt
Filed under: uncultured bacterium
Lineage: Bacteria
Description: partial 16S ribosomal RNA
Rfam family: Bacterial small subunit ribosomal RNA
Source: RNAcentral
GACGAACGCUGGCGGCGUGCUUAACACAUGCAAGUCGAACGGAAAGGCCCUGCUUUUGUGGGGUGCUCGAGUGGCGAACGGGUGAGUAACACGGGAGUAACCUGCCCUUGACUUUGGGAUAACUUCAGGGAACUGGGGCUAAUACCGGAUAGGAGCUCCUGCUGCAUGGUGGGGGUUGGAAAGUUUCGGCGGUUGGGGAUGGACUCGCGGCUUAUCAGCUUGUUGGGGGGGUAGUGGCUUACCAAGGCUUUGACGGGUAGCCGGCCUGAGAGGGUGACCGGCCACAUUGGGCCUGAGAUACGGCCCAGACUCCUACGGGAGGCAGCAGUGGGGAAUAUUGCACAAUGGGCGGAAGCCUGAUGCAGCAACGCCGCGUGCGGGAUGACGGCCUUCGGGUUGUAAACCGCUUUCGCCUGUGACGAAGCGUGAGUGACGGUAAUGGGUAAAGAAGCACCGGCUAACUACGUG